Molecule: ribosomal RNA, 614 nt
Filed under: uncultured archaeon
Lineage: Archaea
Description: bacterial SSU rRNA
Rfam family: Archaeal small subunit ribosomal RNA
Source: RNAcentral
GAGUGCCAUCCGCUGAGGAAGGCUUUUACCCAGUCUAGACCUUUGGGGGAAUAAGGAGAGGGCAAGUCUGGUGUCAGCCGCCGCGGUAAUACCAGCUCUCCGAGUGGUGUGGAUGUUUAUUGGGCCUAAAGCAUCCGUAGCUGGCUAAGUUAGUCCCUUGUUAAAUCCACCGAAUUAAUCGUUGGAUUGCGGGGGAUACUGCUUGGCUAGGGGACGAGAGAGGCAGACGGUAUUUUCGGGGUAGGGGUGAAAUCCUAUAAUCCCGGGAAGACCACCAGUGGCGAAGGCUGUCUGCUAGAACGCGCCCGACGGUGAGGGAUGAAAGCUGGGGGAGCGAACCGGAUUAGAUACCCGGGUAGUCCCAGCUGUAAACGAUGCAGGCUAGGUGUUUGGACGGCCACGUGCCGUUCUAGUGCCGCAGGGAAGCUGUUAAGCCUGCCGCCUGGGGAGUACGAUCGCAAGAUUGAAACUUAAAGGAAUUGGCGGGGGAGCACCACAAGGGGUGAAGCUUGCGGUUUAAUUGGAGUCAACGCCGGAAAUCUCACCGGGAGCGACAGCAGUGUGAAGGCCAGAUUAAAGGUCUUGCCAGACGAGCUGAGAGGUGGUGCAUGGCC